GACAGAGGGUGCAAACGUUGUUCGGAAUUACUGGGCGUAAAGCGCGUGUAGGCGGCUCGGAAAGUCGGAUGUGAAAGCCCUGGGCUUAACCUAGGAAGUGCAUUCGAAACUCCCGAGCUUGAGUUCUGGAGAGGAAGGCGGAAUUCUCGGUGUAGAGGUGAAAUUCGUAGAUAUCGGGAGGAACACCGGUGGCGAAGGCGGGUCUCUGGGCAGUAACUGACGCUGAGGAGCGAAAGCGUGGGGAGCGAACAGG
This 253-nucleotide ribosomal RNA is filed under the name uncultured bacterium. RNAcentral describes it as "partial 16S ribosomal RNA". It matches the Rfam family "Bacterial small subunit ribosomal RNA", at positions 524 to 776 of the family's 1533-position model. The record is from RNAcentral.